This 222-nucleotide unclassified non-coding RNA is filed under the name plant metagenome. RNAcentral's name for it is "partial contains small subunit ribosomal RNA, internal transcribed spacer 1, and 5.8S ribosomal RNA". The record is from RNAcentral.
UUUCCGUAGGUGAACCUGCGGAAGGAUCAUUACAGAGAACUUGCCCUUCGGGGUAGAUCUCCCACCCUUUGUUUACAAUACCAUUGUUGCUUUGGCAGGCCCGUCUUCGGACCACCGGCUCCGGCUGGUCAGUGCCUGCCAGAGGACCCAAAACUCUUUAUAAUUUAUUGUCUGAGUACUAUAUAAUAGUUAAAACUUUCAACAACGGAUCUCUUGGUUCUG